UGGUCAAGUUAUUAAGGGUGCAGGGCGGAUGCCUUGGCACUAGGAGCCGAUGAAGGACGUGAUAAGCUGCGAUAAGCUUCGGGGAGUUGCACGGAAACUUUGAUCCGAAGAUUUCCGAAUGAGGAAACUCACUUAGAGUAAUGUCUAAGUAUCAUUAAGUGAAUACAUAGCUUAAUGAGGGGAACUCAGGGAACUGAAACAUCUAAGUACCUGAAGGAAGAGAAAGAAAUUCGAUUCCGUAAGUAGCGGCGAGCGAACGCGGAUUAGCCCAAACCAAUAAAGUUUUCUUUAUUGGGGUUGCGGACAUAUCAUAACGAAGAGGUAUCGUAAUUGAAGAGGUUUGGAAAGACCCACCACAGAAGGUAAUAGUCCUGUAUGUUAAACGAGAAGACUUUAGAUAUGAUCCAGAGUACCACGGGACACGUGAAACCCUGUGGGAAGCAGGAGGGACCACCCUCCAAGGCUAAAUACUACCUAGUGACCGAUAGCGUAUA
Molecule: ribosomal RNA, 494 nt
Filed under: Clostridioides difficile
Lineage: Bacteria; Bacillati; Bacillota; Clostridia; Peptostreptococcales; Peptostreptococcaceae
Description: bacterial LSU rRNA
Rfam family: Bacterial large subunit ribosomal RNA
Source: RNAcentral